Molecule: long non-coding RNA, 548 nt
Organism: Homo sapiens (human)
Lineage: Eukaryota; Metazoa; Chordata; Mammalia; Primates; Hominidae
Exons: 2
Source: RefSeq, a predicted model, not a curated record
GUGAGACUCCAUCAAAACAAAACAAAACAGCAAAAUGCCUACUGAAAAUCUCCUUGCAGUACCGGCCUACAAAUGUACCGUUAGGAAGCUGUUCUCUUCAAGAGCAGGCUUGGAAGCUAGAGAGGACUGAGAUUGCAGCUGUGGUCUGAAGGGCUGUGUGUGAACGGGGGAGCCAGAGAGACUUGGAUCUAUCAGUCAGGGUUUUCUAGAGAAGCAGAACCAAUAAGAAGGAAAGAACAAGAGUUAUGAUGAGGAAUUGGCUCACAUGAUUAUGGAGGCUGAUGAGUCCCAAGAUCCGUGGGAUGAGUUGGGGAGCUGGGGGCCCGUGAGAGCCAAUGGUGCAGUGCAGCAAGGUGCUACGGACCCCGGCAGACAGGUGUGGAUGAUAUUCUUUGCCAACUGCCUUUGGACAACCUCAGAUUUCACCACGGUCAACAAAUAGAGUUACCUCUGACUUCAGUUUGGAAAUUUUUUUUUUUUUGCAGGGAAUUCUUUGUAGAUUUUCAAACUGCUGUUGAUUAGUUUGUCAAUAAAAUUUAUUGAGUGCC